AGGACAUUGAGUUUGUUGACAGUGACCCAAAGAAUCAGAAAUGACAGGGAACUCCUGCUAGCCAUGGAAGUGGUAGCCACAGCAUCCAGUUUCCAGGGGCCGGUGGACCACGUGUCCGUGCGUCUCGGAUAGAAGCGUACAAACAUCACCCAGCCUCCUCUGCUGAAGACAGAGAUGUCCCCAUCAGACUGCGGCAUGCAUUAGUUCAUGGUCAGGCGGGCUAGACCUUUCUCCCAGAUGUUGGUGAAUUCUACUCUCAUGCGAAUGCAUAAAGUGAGAAGUACUGGUCUACUAGAAGGAAACUGAAGGUUUACCUCCAUUAAUUACCAUCCUACCAGCACCAACCCAAACCAAGCCACUGCGACCUGUCAUGCACACCACCAUUAGAGACUCCUAACUUACUUUCCUCUUGCCAGUCUUUUCCUUAAUUCAGUUCCAAAGGAAAUUCUUCUCAUCUUAUUUUUUCCUACUUAAUAAUACCAAGAGAUUCUCUGUCAUUAAAAUAACCAACAUUUCUUAGCAAGACA
Microcebus murinus (gray mouse lemur) is the source of this 527-nucleotide non-coding RNA. The record is from RefSeq and is a predicted model, not a curated record. Lineage: Eukaryota; Metazoa; Chordata; Mammalia; Primates; Cheirogaleidae.